GAUGAAGAACGUAGCGAAAUGCGAUACUUGGUGUGAAUUGCAGAAUCCCGUGAACCAUCGAGUCUUUGAACGCAAGUUGCGCCCGAAGCCAUUAGGCCGAGGGCACGCCUGCCUGGGCGUCACACGUCGUUGCCCCCCCAUCUACUCCUUCGGGAUUGCGGGGGGCGGAUGAUGGCCUCCCGUGCGCCUCGCCGCGCGGUUGGCAUAAAUGCCAAGUCCUCGGCGACGCACGCCACGACAAUCGGUGGUUGCGAAACCUCGGUUGCCCGUCGUGUGCGGUCGUCGCGCAUCGAGGGCUCGAAAAAAUUGCCCGGUUCCGGCUCGGCUUUCAACGCGACCCCAGGUCAGGCGGGGUUACCCGCUGAAUUUAAGCAUAUCAAUAAGCGGAGGA
Molecule: unclassified non-coding RNA, 391 nt
Filed under: soil metagenome
Description: partial contains 5.8S ribosomal RNA, internal transcribed spacer 2, and large subunit ribosomal RNA
Rfam family: 5.8S ribosomal RNA (bases 1-122)
Source: RNAcentral